This 253-nucleotide ribosomal RNA is filed under the name uncultured bacterium. RNAcentral describes it as "partial 16S ribosomal RNA". It matches the Rfam family "Bacterial small subunit ribosomal RNA", at positions 524 to 776 of the family's 1533-position model. The record is from RNAcentral.
UACGAAGGGGGCUAGCGUUGUUCGGAAUUACUGGGCGUAAAGCGCACGUAGGCGGAUCGAUCAGUCAGGGGUGAAAUCCCAGGGCUCAACCCCGGAACUGCCUUUGAUACUGUCGAUCUGGAGUAUGGAAGAGGUGAGUGGAAUUCCGAGUGUAGAGGUGAAAUUCGUAGAUAUUCGGAGGAACACCAGUGGCGAAGGCGGCUCACUGGUCCAUUACUGACGCUGAGGUGCGAAAGCGUGGGGAGCGAACAGG